AAGAACAGACGAACAAUUUGCACUCUGAUGGGAAAUAAUUAACAACGCCUGUCAGAAUCGGCGAAGAACACAAUCUCUGAAAGAAAAUCCGUCUGGAACGGAGAAAACUCGGCUUGAACCCCAAAACAGCAACGUCGACCCGGAUACCAAAAUAAAUGGUAACACAGGGAUAACCAUGGCCUGAACACCACCCAUCCGCUCGGGAUUAUUAUUCUCUUCUCUCCCUUUUAUGCUUCUCUUGAACCCCGAAAUUUUCUCUU
RNAcentral lists this long non-coding RNA (260 nucleotides) under Lathyrus oleraceus (garden pea). Its description in RNAcentral is "Pisum sativum (pea) long non-coding RNA (PSAT_LNC015921)". Lineage: Eukaryota; Viridiplantae; Streptophyta; Magnoliopsida; Fabales; Fabaceae. The record is from RNAcentral.